RNAcentral lists this unclassified non-coding RNA (220 nucleotides) under root metagenome. Its description in RNAcentral is "partial contains small subunit ribosomal RNA, internal transcribed spacer 1, and 5.8S ribosomal RNA". The record is from RNAcentral.
UCUCCGUUGGUGAACCAGCGGAGGGAUCAUUACCGAGUUUACAACUCCCAAACCCCUGUGAACAUACCUCUUCGUUGCCUCGGCGGGACUCGCCCCGGCGCCCCUCGGGCCCGGAUCCAGGCGCCCGCCGGAGGACCUAAACUCUUGUCUCCCGAUGUGUAUCUUCUGAGUGACACAAGCAAAUAAAUCAAAACUUUCAACAACGGAUCUCUUGGUUCUG